GAUGAAGAACGCAGCGAAAUGUGAUACUUGGUGUGAAUUGCAGAAUCCCGUGAACCAUCGAGUUUUUGAAUGCAAGUUGCGCCCGAAGCCAUUAGGCCGAGGGCACGCCUGCCUGGGCGUCACACGUCGUUGCCCCCCCAUCUACUCCUUCGGGAUUGCGGGGGGCGGAUGAUGGCCUCCCGUGCGCCUCGCCGCGCGGUUGGCAUAAAUGCCAAGUCCUCGGCGACGCACGCCACGACAAUCGGUGGUUGCGAAACCUCGGUUGCCCGUCGUGUGCGGUCGUCGCGCAUCGAGGGCUCGAAAAAAUUGCCGGGUUCCGGCUCGGCUUUCAACGCGACCCCAGGUCAGGCGGGGUUACCCGCUGAAUUUAAGCAUAUCAAUAAGCGGAGGA
RNAcentral lists this unclassified non-coding RNA (391 nucleotides) under soil metagenome. Its description in RNAcentral is "partial contains 5.8S ribosomal RNA, internal transcribed spacer 2, and large subunit ribosomal RNA". The stretch from base 1 to 122 matches the Rfam family "5.8S ribosomal RNA", at positions 35 to 154 of the family's 154-position model. The record is from RNAcentral.